GUGCUUGCGUGCGUGUGCGUGACUGGGGACUGAACCCAGGGAUUUUGCACUGAUCUACAUUCAUCGCCUUUUUAAAAUUUUUUAUUUUGAGGCUCUCUGUUCGUAGCUAACUUGCCCAGACUGGGCUCAAACUUACAAUCCUCCCGCCUCAGCUUCCUAGAGCAUUGGGAUCACAGAAUGCACCAGUGUGUUCACCCCUUUGGGGACAUUUCAUACCCAAACUACAGCAGUUUAAUUACCAGAAACUUCACAGAAAGAAAGUCUCUUCUCAGCAUUUCGCGCUGGUCCCUUCUGUCUCUGGAGUGGAGUCUGGUUCUGUUCUGUGUGACGGUGCUUCCUGUAUUAAAGCAGCUCCCAGGCCCCACCUACCACCUCUCUUCCCUGGCCUAAGCAUGGCCACAGCCUUCAGCAGUGACUUGCGUGACAUUUUGAGCCCUGCUUCUUGCUCCUUACACACAAAGAGAGCCGAGGUCUGCACAUCAGAGCCCCAGCGGAAGCUCAGACCUCAAAGGCGACCCAUUUUCCUCCCACCCCUGCCUGCAGUUGAGGCAGGGGGCCUGGUUUGAGUGUCUGGCCUUGAACGUCAGCCUGGGAGGCACCACUGCCCCCAGGGCUCUCGCUUGCCUGUUGCUUAAUCUGCCCGUGAAGUCAGUCAUCGGAGGCACCUGCUGCCAGCUGGGCAAACAGCUCUGGGCCAGAGCAGAGCGCCAUCAGCCUUCGCAGCCCCACAUUGCCCGGUUUCUCCGUGUCACAGUGGCCGCAGGACGUGACAUCCUGGCUGAGCCAGAUGAGUGAGACAGCGCAGCUGACUUCAGCAGUGCCCGCGCUCCUCCGAAAGCCGUGAGUCACCGCGCUCUGCAAGCUGCAGUAAGGGCGCUGAACCAGGGCUGUGAGCAUCUCAGCAGCCCCUCUGCUGAGGACAGCAGGCUCAUGUCCAGGGCUCUUCGUCACCCUCAGCACGAACCACUGGCCCGGAGUUGCACUGCCCGGCCAUGCUGACCACCGCAGGAUCUACUCCACUGAGCAGCAAUGCUAACAGACAGUUUACCACCUGGCUGGGAACCAAACUCGUGAAAACAACUUCUCCAAAGCAGAUCGUGGUGCAUUGUGACAGAGAUGGCCGCCUUGACCUCCUGAAAUUCCUCCUGAAGAUGAAGUGCCGAGCCCAGCAGUCCACAGGAGAGUUCAUAGACAGUUCCAUUACACACAGCAAGACCUCCAGAGGAUCAGAUGUUCACCCAUGGGAAGAUGUGGACCGGAUGGGCAGAUUCAGAUGCAACUCAUAUUCUCAUCGGCUUCGGACAUAUUCAUUUUAUUGGGAUCAGAGCACAACAAAUCCUGUAAAGAUAAAUAACUGA
Molecule: long non-coding RNA, 1358 nt
Filed under: Fukomys damarensis (Damara mole-rat)
Lineage: Eukaryota; Metazoa; Chordata; Mammalia; Rodentia; Bathyergidae
Description: lncRNA (ENSFDAG00000026029.1)
Source: RNAcentral